CACCGCCGCCGCCGCCCACGACCUCGAGCAGUGGAUCUUACUCCUCCGUCCUCGACCUCGAGCGGCGGUAACCAUCCUAAAUCGCACACGUGCUCUUCACCGUUAAGAGAAAUCCAUCGACGUCCAUCGUGCCUCGCGCGACCUAGGUAUUUAGAUGACGCGUCGUGUGCGUGGGGAGUGAGGGUGGGGGAUUUGUGCGUCCGGGGUUGCGGAGGGGGUUCGAUUCGGCAAGGCUGAGGCGUGGGGGCGAGCGGUCGGGCCACUGGACCUGCGCCCACAUGCUGCAGGUUAUGGCCGGCAUCGACGGCGGUGGGGAUGCACCAGCAGCGCGGCAGCCUGGGUUGACGCCCAUGGAGCUCAUCGAGCAGAAGGUGAUUACAUGUGGAGUUCGGGAAGAGCAGCUGCAGCAGCGGCAGCAUCAUCAGUACAUGCCUGCUCAUGUACUUGGAGGAGCAGAAGGAAAAUAUUUCCAAUGUCACGUUGGACAUCUUGACAGCAGGCACUGAUUUAUCCGAGGCAGCAAGUCCACCAAGAAGGACGAAGACGGCAGCAUCAGCGACAACAAUGCGUACACUCUUUUUUAUUUGUUAAGAUGGGCUAGAUUCCACCCAGUUUUGCUCACAUGAUUGACUCAUUUUUAUUUGUUGGAUCAUGAUGCACUAAAAGAUGUUCAAAAUUGAUGGCAUGAACACUCUUCUAUAUUUAAAUAGUUGAAAUGAGGGAUUUUCUACUAUAGAGAAUCCUGACAGCACAGUCAUUAAGGAUAAUAAAACAUGUUAUUUAGCAAUAAUACAUAGGCUUGCAUAGUAAUUAACUGGUCAUUUGAUUUGUUGAUUACAUCAACUUUAUACAAUUCAUUCUGCAGAGGGAAAGCAGUACAAUAAAGUCUUCUUUAGUACAGCAAAGCAACUCCUUAGUUCUUAUCAUGUCUACUCACUUGUGGAAAUAUUUUCUUAUGUCAUUGCAUUUUAAUCAUUACAUAACAUUAUUACGCCCUACGAUCCAAAAUACCUUUCAUGGUUUUAGUUCCUCCUUUGUUAUUUUCUCAUCUUAUUGUGGUGUUAAUUGAGUGUACCAUAUAAACUUUACAGGUUACUGUAAUCUUGUGAAGCAAAGGUAACUGCUUCUGUUGAGUUGUUACAGAAUGUCCUAUGGAGGAAAUCAGCAACAAAGCAUACACUAUGUCCUAAUUCAAACUUGCUUGCAAGAUUUCCUAGGAAACCCGACCCCUGUAAUUCCAGUGGGAUAGAUGAUUAAUUGAACACAUAUAACUUAUAAUCUCAUCUACCGCAUUAUUCCUUGGUUGCAGGUCAGUAAGAUCGUCUUACUUUGAUCCCUGGGUUAAUGAUGUUACUUUCCUAGAAGGUAGAUGGAGUUAUGACAUUAGGCGGUUGACUAGAUGGUCACCAAUUGUUGAUUUGUGUGCCAGGGACCACGCCCGCAUCUCUGCUCCAGUCAGUCACAUUGUGCUAUGAUGCGCACAUCCUCAAGUCUGGGAAGCGACCCUGCUCACUCUUAAAUAAUGGCAAUUAGUGUCCAGAGCCCUUCGCUGUCAACAAACUGGAUGUAGACACUCAGGUGGACGCAUCCGCUCAGCCCCAAAUUGAUAUUCUCUUUAAUGAUUCUCGGUAUGUAUUUAUAUCAGCCAGAACAUCUUAUAUGGGUUUCUUCUCAUGAUAUUUGUACCUUACAAAGAUUCUGUCUUCAUGCUUGAAUUUUACCAGGUUCUUUCCUAUUUUUACCAUUCAAUUAUUACACAGUUGUUAUGCGUAUCACAUUUGCUGUAAGGUAUAUAUGUUGCUUUCUGUUGGAGAAAACAAAUUUGCAGUCUAUUGAUUGAGUGCAUGGCUGUCAUGAUUUCCCACCGUCAUAUCCCAUUCCUUUAUUAGCUAUUUGUUGGUAAUCUCAUGAGUUGAUUUGCUCUUUCAAAUUUUUCAAGUUACUUCCUAAUUUAUGGAUAACACAGAUGAAGUGCGCUUUGACAGAUAUAACAAGGAAACAUCCACGUCUAAUUUGUUCUUGAUAUAUUUAUAUUGGUUUAUAUCUCGCUGAUCAUACCAUUUUUUAUUUGUGAUAUUAGAAUCUUUGCCUUCUCAAACUUACAUUUUCUUGGGAUUGCAUUAUGCUCAAUGAAUUUGAUAGAAGUAUACCCAGAGGAUGCUAAACAGGGAAACAAAGUACACUCGGUAAAUUUAAUUUGCUUUGUCAAGGAUAUAUAGGGCAAAAAUUCCUCUUAUAGCUCUCCUCCUUGUAUUUAUUGCAAUAAGUUUUUGGUCACCAUCUGGAAUCUUAUUCCAGGAUCCAUGUUAAUCCCAUACAUUUUUCCCGCUGAGUCUUUGGAUGACUGGACUAUUACCUCUCCAGGAGCCAUACAUUUUUAUUUUUCUGCUGUUUAUGUCUUGGUAUUAAUUAGUUGUAGUCCGUGAACAUUGUUGUGUAUGCUGUCAUAUACCAAGCCAAUUUGUAUCCAUGAACCUUGAGUUUUCCC
Molecule: long non-coding RNA, 2488 nt
Organism: Triticum aestivum (bread wheat)
Lineage: Eukaryota; Viridiplantae; Streptophyta; Magnoliopsida; Poales; Poaceae
Exons: 3
Source: RefSeq, a predicted model, not a curated record